This 468-nucleotide ribosomal RNA is filed under the name uncultured bacterium. RNAcentral describes it as "partial 16S ribosomal RNA". It matches the Rfam family "Bacterial small subunit ribosomal RNA", at positions 28 to 507 of the family's 1533-position model. The record is from RNAcentral.
GACGAACGCUGGCGGCGUGCUUAACACAUGCAAGUCGAACGGAAAGGCCCUGCUUUUGUGGGGUGCUCGAGUGGCGAACGGGUGAGUAACACGUGAGUAACCUGCCCUUGACUUUGGGAUAACUUCGGGAAACUGGGGCUAAUACCGGAUAGGAGCUCCUGCUGCAUGGUGGGGGUUGGAAAGUUUCGGCGGUUGGGGAUGGACUCGCGGCUUAUCAGCUUGUUGGUGGGGUAGUGGCUUACCAAGGCUUUGACGGGUAGCCGGCCUGAGAGGGUGACCGGCCACAUUGGGACUGAGAUACGGCGCAGACUCGUACGGGAGACAGCAGUGGGGAAUAUUGCACAAUGGGCGGAAGCCUGAUGCAGCAACGCCGCGUGCGGGAUGACGGCCUUCGGGUUGUAAACCGCUUUCGCCUGUGACGAAGCGUGAGUGACGGUAAUGGGUAAAGAAGCACCGGCUAACUACGUG